This 657-nucleotide ribosomal RNA is filed under the name Macrolaimus sp. ES-2017. RNAcentral describes it as "eukaryotic LSU rRNA". It matches the Rfam family "Eukaryotic large subunit ribosomal RNA", at positions 386 to 947 of the family's 3401-position model. The record is from RNAcentral. Lineage: Eukaryota; Metazoa; Nematoda; Chromadorea; Rhabditida; Chambersiellidae.
AAUAAGUUGCAUAUUGUUGUAACGAUCCAUAAAAAUGUUUCCGUAUGGUUCAUUUUUUGGAUGCAGUUUGACAAUAUGUAAUGCACUUGUUGCCAUUGUGCUGAUACAAUUGAUCAUUGAUUUUGUUAUAAAAUUAGAGGGCAUAUCUUCGGAUGUGUAUCCUGGUUUUAUGUUAGAAAUCUUCUGGUUAAUUGUUUGUAAAGGAUUGAUUGGAAGGUGCAUAUAAUCUGCUGUCUAAGGGUUAAUGCUUGCAUUGGCUCUUUUGCGGUAUGUUAUUUUGUACUGGACUAAAAUUCUUUUAUCAGUAUAAAAGACAAUCACCUAUAUGUCCCGUCUUGAAACACGGACCAAGGAGUUUAUCGUAUGUGCGAGUCAUUGAGUGAUCAAAACUCAUUGGCGUAAUGAAAGUAAAUUAUCCUUUGUGGAUAUGAUAUAUGAUUACUUUUUCUUUUUUGAAUGAGUAAGUAGUAUAGUCCCAUCCAAUUUGUUUACAAAUGGGUGGAGAUAGAGUAUAUGCGAUGAGACCCGAAAGAUGGUGAACUAUGCCUGAGCAGGAUGAAGUCAGAGGAAACUCUGAUGGAAGUCCGAAGCGGUUCUGACGUGCAAAUCGAUCGUCUGACUUGGGUAUAGGGGCGAAAGACUAAUCGAACCAUCUAG